GUGAAAUCCCAAGCAAAAUCUUGCCCAAGAAAACCUGCGUUUCUGGAAAAAAAAUAAGAAAAUAACAUAAUUAAAGGUUUGGAUCUGGAAAUGAAAAAUAAAAUAAAAACAGAAUUAAGAAUAUUGAAUCAAAAAUUCGAGAAAUUAAAAAUAAAGUUGAGAGAAAGGAAAUUCUUAUGGGAGGUUCUAGCCUCCAGUUGUC
Molecule: long non-coding RNA, 202 nt
Filed under: Gossypium raimondii (Peruvian cotton)
Lineage: Eukaryota; Viridiplantae; Streptophyta; Magnoliopsida; Malvales; Malvaceae
Description: long non-coding RNA (GRAI_LNC008054)
Source: RNAcentral